ACCCUGGAGGAGGGCAUGGCAACCCACUCCAGUAUUCUCACCUGGAGAAUCCUGUGGACAGAGGAGCCUGGCGGGCUACAGCCCAUAGGGUCUCAAAGACUCGGACGUGACUGAAGCAACUUAGCACACAUGCUCCCAGGAAAAUCUGAUUCCAGCAGUGACUUGAGAAUCACCCGUUCACACAACCAGGAACAAGAUGCCCCAGGAAUGCGGUUUGGACGAUGCUGUCCCAGAACAGUCUGUGCCCCCCCGGGCGUGGAGGUGCCGGGCCUGCAGGCAGGUGCUGCGACCCAGGAGUCACGAGGUGGGGUUGCCUCUCGUGAUGUGCGGUAUUUCAGAGUCUCAAUGCUCCUGCUUCUGCAAUGGGGACAACAACUGCCGUGUGGCAGGCACGUGACCGGGACGCAUGCCAGGAACAACGGCAGCUGUGGAAGGAGCCGUGAGAGAUGAAAUUUGGCCGUGCCAGCAGCCCCAGGACACUCACGCAGCAGCGGUGGGGCCCCAGGCCACACCAGGCCCCCAGCUCAACCUCAGCAGACCCGCGUCCACCACCCUGUGGCUUCCCCUCCAGC
This is a long non-coding RNA of Bos taurus (domestic cattle), 572 nucleotides long. Lineage: Eukaryota; Metazoa; Chordata; Mammalia; Artiodactyla; Bovidae. The record is from Ensembl.